This 387-nucleotide unclassified non-coding RNA is filed under the name Hevea brasiliensis (rubber tree). The record is from RNAcentral. Lineage: Eukaryota; Viridiplantae; Streptophyta; Magnoliopsida; Malpighiales; Euphorbiaceae.
UACGGGCUGUAUCGACAGGCUCAAUUUGCCUGUUCGUCGGCCUACGAAAUAACCACGCGAAAAAUUCUUUCAUUGUACCAUUUACGAUCAUUGCUCUGCCCACUUUUUAUCACUCUUUUAUGGUGAGUGGGACUGAAGUCUUGUUUUACGCCAUAGACUUCUUUGGCGUUUGAAAUUCAGUGGCGUGUUCCGCCACAACUGUUUGGGAUGAGAUUAAGUUGAAAAACGAAAAAGUAUGUCACCGCUAAGCAUAGCUACCAAUGCAAACCAGUCUGUCUUAUAAUAAGAUAGUAGCUCGCUUCCGCCAUUAAACGAAGAUGGGGCGUUUUCUCUGCUACCGGCGGAAAGAAUCUCCUACCGCUGGAAAAAGGUCUGACAUCAGUACCG